This 225-nucleotide ribosomal RNA is filed under the name uncultured Eubacteriales bacterium. RNAcentral describes it as "uncultured Clostridiales bacterium partial 16S ribosomal RNA". It matches the Rfam family "Bacterial small subunit ribosomal RNA", at positions 111 to 334 of the family's 1533-position model. Lineage: Bacteria; Bacillati; Bacillota; Clostridia; Eubacteriales. The record is from RNAcentral.
UAACGCGUGAGUAACCUGCCUUACACAAGGGGAUAGCCUCUGGAAACGGAGAAUAAUACCCUAUGAAACUAUCUUAUCGCAUGAAAAGAUAGUCAAAGUGCUUUAGCGGUGUAAGAUGGACUUGCGUCUGAUUAGCUAGUUGGUGAGAUAACAGCCCACCAAGGCAACGAUCAGUAGCCGGCUUGAGAGAGUGUACGGCCACAUUGGGACUGAGACACGGCCCAG